GUUGAGGGCGCGUCUUCCUUAAGGCGCAUCUUUGGAGCGAGGCUGCAGCAUCCAGGGCGGAGGUGAGGGUAGCAUUAUAUUAGAAGAUAGCCAGAGAGGGACAGGAGAAAGUGGGGAUGAAUGAGAGUUUGGAAUGGAGAUCAGCUGAGAGUUGCUGGAGGUCAAGAGAAUUCAGGUCCCUUUUAAGUUGAGGGGGGUAAGGGUGAGACUGUUGAGUGAGGAAGCUUUCAAGAACAAAUAAGAGAUUGUGAUCUGAGAGAGGAAAUGGAGUGUUGUGGAGUUU
Pelobates cultripes (western spadefoot toad) is the source of this 283-nucleotide non-coding RNA. Lineage: Eukaryota; Metazoa; Chordata; Amphibia; Anura; Pelobatidae. The record is from the annotation of a GenBank genome assembly.